UACGUAGGGCGCAAGCGUUGUCCGGAAUUAUUGGGCGUAAAGAGCUCGUAGGCGGCUUGUCACGUCGGGUGUGAAAGCCCGGGGCUAAACCCCGGGUCUGCAUUCGAUACGGGCUAGCUAGAGUGUGGUAGGGGAGAUCGGAAUUCCUGGUGUAGCGGUGAAAUGCGCAGAUAUCAGGAGGAACACCGGUGGCGAAGGCGGGUCUCUGGGCCGUAACUGACGCUGAGGAGCGAAAGCGUGGGGAGCGAACAGG
RNAcentral lists this ribosomal RNA (253 nucleotides) under uncultured bacterium. RNAcentral's name for it is "partial 16S ribosomal RNA". It matches the Rfam family "Bacterial small subunit ribosomal RNA", at positions 524 to 776 of the family's 1533-position model. The record is from RNAcentral.